CGCUGCGGCGCGAUGGCGGCGGGGCUGGCGCGGCUCCUGUUGCUCCUUGGGCUCUCGGCCCGCGGGCCCGCGCCGGCAGGUGCCGCGAAGAUGAAGGUGGUGGAGGAGCCCAACACGUUCGGGUGAGCAGCCUCGCGGGCUGGCGGCUCGGGCGGGGGGACGGCCCGGGCCCGUUCCCCGCUGACCUUGCCGCUUCUCGUAGGGUGAACAACCCGUUCUUGCCCCAGGCCAGUCGCCUCCAGGCCAAGAGGGACCCUUCACCCGUGUCUGGUACAAGUAUGAGUUCUGUCCGUUCCACAAUGUGACCCAGCACGAGCAGACCUUCCGCUGGAACGCCUACAGUGGGAUCCUCGGCAUCUGGCACGAGUGGGAGAUUGCCAACAACACCUUCACGGGCAUGUGGAUGAGGGACGGUGACGCCUGCCGUUCCCGGAGCCGACAGAGCAAGGUGGGGCCUCAGACGGGAGCCCGGGAAGGAGGGGCCCCAGUCUUCCCAACCCACCCACCCACAUUCCCUCCCCAGGUGGAGCUGGCGUGUGGAAAAAGCAACCGGCUGGCCCACGUGUCCGAGCCGAGCACCUGCAUCUACGCGCUGAUGUUCGAGACCCCCCUCGUCUGCCACCCCCACGCCUUGCUAGGUAGGGGUACAGGAUGCAGUUGAGCCCAGUGGGGUCAGCCAUGCACGCAGCCCUGCUGGAGGCCCUGCAGUGGUGGGGGCCAGGGUUGGGACAUAGGGUGCAGCUGAGCCUGGCUUCUCUUGGGUCCUCAGUGUAUCCGACCCUGCCAGAGGCCCUGCAGCGGCGGUGGGACCAGGUAGAGCAGGACCUGGCCGACGAGCUGAUCACCCCCCAGGUAGGCGUGUGCUCGGGGUGGCCCCUAGCGGGCCUGGCUGGGAGCUGGGUGCUGCCCCUGCAUCCUCCACCUUCAGGGUCAUGAGAAGUUGCUGAGGACACUUUUUGAGGAUGCUGGCUACUUAAAGACCCCAGAAGAAAACGAACCCACCCAGCUGGAGGGAGGUCCCGACAGCUUGGGGUUUGAGACCUUGGAAAACUGCAGGAAGGUACCUUAUUGGGGGCAGGUGGCGGCACACCGUAGCGCCCCCACCACCUGAGCUUUCCCUUGAACUCUUUUUGUCGUAGGCUCAUAAAGAACUGUCCAAGGAGAUCAAAAGACUGAAAGGUUUGCUCACCCAGCACGGCAUCCCCUACAGGAGGCCCACAGAAACUUCCAACUUGGAGCACUUGGGCCACAAGACGCCCAGAGCCAAGCCUCCAGAGCAGCUGCGGGGUGACCCAGGACUGCGUGGGAGUUUGUGACCUUGUGGUGGGAGGGCAGAGGUGGACACGGCCGAGAGCCCUACAGAGAAGCUGGCUGGUAGGACCCCCAGGGACCAGCUGGCCAGGCUUGUGCUCAGAGAAGCAGACAAAACAAAGAUUCAAGGUUUUAAUUAAUUCCCAUACUGAUAAAAAUAACUCCAUGAAUUCUGUAAACCAUUGCAUAAAUGCUAUAGUGUAAAAAAAUUUAAACAAGUGUUAACUUUAAACAGUU
Molecule: small RNA, 1548 nt
Filed under: Pongo abelii (Sumatran orangutan)
Lineage: Eukaryota; Metazoa; Chordata; Mammalia; Primates; Hominidae
Description: retained intron
Source: RNAcentral